Homo sapiens (human) is the source of this 634-nucleotide long non-coding RNA. Lineage: Eukaryota; Metazoa; Chordata; Mammalia; Primates; Hominidae. The record is from Ensembl.
CCGGCUGGCCUCCCUCAGCCCCUGGCACGUCCGCUUUGCAAGGCAACAGCAAGAAGACACUCCUGUCACUGAACAUCCUGCCAGCCAUCGUUGAUGGAGUCUCUCUCUCAGCGGAGAGGAAAGGGGAGGCUCCUAGCACAAGGGCAGAAGCCCUCUCUCCCGAGGUAUCUGGGGACCAGGAAGCUCCUCUCGCCUUGUCUUUGGAUUCCUCCUCGGACCAGGCUGUCCCUUCAGGAACUGCUGGGGUCCCAGGCAGGGCCCCACCUGGACCAGCCCCAUCAGCACUGGCCUGGCCCACAGCCCACAGAACCCCUGAAUCCCAGCCAGUGUCCUCUGUGGCCGGACUUGUGUCUGGAUCUGUGGCUGGACCUGCAGAGGAGAUGUUGGUCCCUGGAUCUCCAGAGAUUGCUGCCCCAUUACCACCAUCAGCUUCUCUUGGCCCAAGGACUCAGUCUCCUCUACCCCAGGACCCAGUCACAUGACGCGCUCCGUGACCUUCACAAUCACCAAUGAAGCCUUCUCGGCUGCACUCUUGAACCCUGCCUCCUGGAAGCACCAGCUGCUGCGUAAGAUCAUCCACCACCAGGGGCCGACUUGAUCACCCUGGCCCGGGAGACCAUCAGCAUCCGCUUCA